GUGCUUGCGCCGCUGACGAGUGGCGAACGGGAGAGUAAUAUAUCGGAACGUACCUAGUAAUGGGGGAUAACUAUCCGAAAGGAUAGCUAAUACCGCAUACGCCCUGAGGGGGAAAGAGGGGGAUCGCAAGACCUCUCGUUAUUAGAGCGGCCGAUAUCAGAUUAGCUAGUUGGUGAGGUAAAGGCUCACCAAGGCCACGAUCUGUAGCGGGUCUUAGAGGACGAUCCGCCACACUGGAACUGAGACACGGUCCAGACUCCUACGGGAGGCAGCAGUGGGGAAUCUUGGACAAUGGGCGCAAGCCUGAUCCAGCAAUGCCGCGUGCGUGAAGAAGGCCUUCGGGUUGUAAAGCGCUUUUGUUCGGGAGGAAAUCCUAGAGGCUAAUAUCCUUUGGGGAUGACAGUACCGGAAGAAUAAGGACCGGCUAACUACGUGCCAGCAGCCGCGGUAAUACGUAGGGUCCAAGCGUUAAUCGGAAUUACUGGGCGUAAAGGGUGCGCAGGUGGUUGAUUAAGUGUGAUGUGAAAGCCCCGGGCUCAACCUGGGAAUUGCAUUGCAAACUGAUCAACUAGAGUAUGGCAGAGGGGGGUGGAAUUCCGCGUGUAGCAGUGAAAUGCGUAGAGAUGCGGAGGAACACCGAUGGCGAAGGCAACCCCCUGGGCUAAUACUGACACUCAUGCACGAAAGCGUGGGGAGCAAACAGGAUUAGAUACCCUGGUAGUCCACGCCCUAAACGAUGUCUACUAGUUGUUGGGGGAUUCGUCCCUUAGUAACGCAGCUAACGCGUGAAGUAGACCGCCUGAGAAGUAUGCUCGCAAGAGUGAAACUCAAAGGAAUUGACGGGUGCCCGCACAAGCGGUGGAGCAUGUGGCUUAAUUCGAUGCAACCGAGAACCUUACCAGGUUUGACAUGAUACGAAUUUGUUUGAACAAGAAAGUGCCCGUUGGUACGUAUCCCAGUGGUGCAUGGCUGUCG
RNAcentral lists this ribosomal RNA (975 nucleotides) under uncultured bacterium. RNAcentral's name for it is "bacterial SSU rRNA". It matches the Rfam family "Bacterial small subunit ribosomal RNA", at positions 76 to 1054 of the family's 1533-position model. The record is from RNAcentral.